Bacteroides faecichinchillae is the source of this 81-nucleotide small RNA. It matches the Rfam family "Bacteroides-1 RNA". NCBI's taxonomy places the organism in Bacteria, Pseudomonadati, Bacteroidota, Bacteroidia, Bacteroidales, Bacteroidaceae. The record is from Rfam.
GUGCAAAUCGCCUGGUAUACUACUUGUAGGUAUGCGAAUAUAUAUCAGUCAGUAAUAUGCCUCCCCGGCAUAGCAGGAAGA